GGUUGGCAUGGUGUAGUGGUAUCAGCAUUGGAUUAUGAUUCUGAAGACCAGGGUUUGAAUCCCAGCUUGGCCA
Non-coding RNA from Phrynosoma platyrhinos (Desert horned lizard), 73 nucleotides. The record is from the annotation of a GenBank genome assembly. NCBI's taxonomy places the organism in Eukaryota, Metazoa, Chordata, Lepidosauria, Squamata, Phrynosomatidae.